AUACGACCAUAGCUUGUAGAAAGCACGGGAUCCCGUCCGCUCUCCCUUAGUUAACCUACAAAGCGCUAGAAUAGUACUACGGUGGGUGACCACGUGGGAAUUCCUAGUGUUGUAUG
Molecule: ribosomal RNA, 116 nt
Filed under: Ceratocystis platani
Lineage: Eukaryota; Fungi; Ascomycota; Sordariomycetes; Microascales; Ceratocystidaceae
Source: RNAcentral